RNAcentral lists this ribosomal RNA (429 nucleotides) under Acidobacteriota bacterium. RNAcentral's name for it is "Acidobacteria bacterium partial 16S ribosomal RNA". It matches the Rfam family "Bacterial small subunit ribosomal RNA", at positions 355 to 776 of the family's 1533-position model. Lineage: Bacteria; Pseudomonadati; Acidobacteriota. The record is from RNAcentral.
UGGGGAAUUUUGGACAAUGGGGGAAACCCUGAUCCAGCCAUCCCGCGUGUGCGAUGAAGGCCUUCGGGUUGUAAAGCACUUUUGGCAGGAAAGAAACGUCAUGGGUUAAUACCCCGUGAAACUGACGGUACCUGCAGAAUAAGCACCGGAUAACUACGUGCCAGCAGCCGCGGUAAUACGUAGGGUGCAAGCGUUAAUCGGAAUUACUGGGCGUAAAGCGUGCGCAGGCGGUUCGGAAAGAAAGAUGUGAAAUCCCAGAGCUCAACUUUGGAACUGCAUUUUUAACUACCGGGCUAGAGUGUGUCAGAGGGAGGUGGAAUUCCGCGUGUAGCAGUGAAAUGCGUAGAUAUGCGGAGGAACACCGAUGGCGAAGGCAGCCUCCUGGGAUAACACUGACGCUCAUGCACGAAAGCGUGGGGAGCAAACAGG